CCUACGGGGGGCAGCAGUGAGGAAUAUUGGUCAAUGGCCGGAAGGCUGAACCAGCCAUGCCGCGUGAAGGUCAGUGCCCUAUGGGCGUUAAACUUCUUUUGUGCGGGAGCAAUAAUGGUCACGUGUGACCAGACGAGAGUACCGUACGAAUAAGCAUCGGCUAACUCCGUGCCAGCAGCCGCGGUAAUACGGGGGAUGCAAGCGUUAUCCGGAUUUAUUGGGUUUAAAGGGUGCGUAGGCUGUGAGGUAAGUCAGCGGUGAAAUGCCCCCGCUCAACGGGGUGAAGUGCCAUUGAUACUGCCUGGCUGGAAGGCGGAUGCCGUGGGAGGAAUGUGUGGUGUAGCGGUGAAAUGCAUAGAUAUCACACAGAACACCGAUUGCGAAGGCAUCUCACGAAUCCGCGAUUGACGCUGAUGCACGAAAGCGUGGGUAUCAAACAGGAUUAGAUACCCCAGUAGUC
This 460-nucleotide ribosomal RNA is filed under the name uncultured bacterium. RNAcentral's name for it is "partial 16S ribosomal RNA". It matches the Rfam family "Bacterial small subunit ribosomal RNA", at positions 338 to 795 of the family's 1533-position model. The record is from RNAcentral.